This is a long non-coding RNA of Neopsephotus bourkii (Bourke's parrot), 1137 nucleotides long. RefSeq lists it as uncharacterized. The transcript is spliced from 4 exons. The record is from RefSeq and is a predicted model, not a curated record. Lineage: Eukaryota; Metazoa; Chordata; Aves; Psittaciformes; Psittacidae.
GGCCGCUGCCCCGCUCCCACCCCUGCCCGCGGGCAGCCCCGCCGCGGUACGGGAGGUCUCCGCCCGCCGCCGAGCGGAGCGCGCUGCCCACAGGGUGCCCGUGCACCCGCAGCGCCGCCGGGGGGGAGCCGCCCGGCGCUCCCCGCCCACGGAGAAAGAGCAGAUGUGGCAUAUCAGAGUUUGGACUCACCAUCGCCUGUGUAUCUGAGGGUGGCAGAACGGCAUUUCAGUACCCAUCACCAUAUUAUCUAGGCGCCACCAUAAGAUUAAGAAGGUCUGCAGUGACAUUCUCAACAUGAUCUGUUCAAAGGUCGUUAGCAGAGCCUUUCAUACUGGAAAAGAUUGGAGGAGAGUACGGAAGUGAGCCACAGAAGGAGACAAAAAGGCAAAGGAGGCGUGCUGCAGAGACGACACCUGGAGAUUGGCACCGCUGCCUGCAGACAGCAUGAGCAACAUACCUUCCCCGACCCCAUGGAAAAUUUUCCAGAGCAAAUUGGAGGUCAGAGCGCCCACUCUGUGGCUCUGCAAGAGACAGAGAAGGAGGCAGAGCCAGAGGGCACACCAACACCCCCGAACGGGACAGUGACAAAGCAGAAGCUGCAGUCUCCAGUCCCGUGUUGCAGAGUCGCGCUGAAGCCAUUUGGCUGGCAAGACAUGGGUUGGCUUUCCAAGCAGGGACUGUAAGAGGUGACUUUGUGGUUUAUGAGUACCCUGUUCCCUUGUAUUCCAAAAAGAACUGGCAAAGAAGCUGCUGUCCACCAGCUUUCCAGAAGUUUUCCAUAGUUGUCUGACAUUCCCUAGGUAAUUGUGGCCUCUUUCUUUGAUGGAUUUAUUAAGAUCAUGUAUUAAUGCUUUUUUCUAACAUAUGCAAGCUUUCGAGAGAUCCAUCAAGGGAACAGGAAUUCUGUCCCUCCAGGAGACCCUGCCAAGGGUCAGAAUUUCCUAGUACAGAACUUGGGAAUUCAUCUAGGCAUUUUCUAAAAGAGGAGAGCUGUUCAGAGGUGCUGAGGCUGCAGGCCGAGUAGCUGGGACUCCAUGGUGUGCUGCUGGGGUGACAUAAACCAAGGGAGGACUUAGAGUAACAGGAGAGUGGGCUUAAGAAACAAGAUUUUUCUUCAUUAAAAGCAUUAAGGUCCA